Molecule: transfer RNA, 73 nt
Filed under: Gemmatimonadota bacterium
Lineage: Bacteria; Pseudomonadati; Gemmatimonadota
Also listed under: 2 other names
Description: tRNA-Arg
Rfam family: tRNA
About the family: Transfer RNA (tRNA) molecules are approximately 80 nucleotides in length.
Source: RNAcentral
GCCCUCGUAGCUCAGAGGAUAGAGCACCGGUUUCCUAAACCGUAGGUCGGGUGUUCGAGUCACCCCGGGGGUA